AUUGAGUAUCAUAUCAGAUGUCACGACAUUGAAACAUUUGGAAAUAAUCAUACUAAAUUGUUGGAAUCAUCCGGUUAUAUUUGAUGUAUAUGAUUUCUUCGAUUUGGACUACAAACUUCUUCAGUCGAUUGUAGCAUCCGUGGUGACAUACGUAGUCGUUUUGGUUCAGAUACAGUUGGUUAUCAUGGACAUGUAGUCUUAACAGUAGUUAAUCUCACACAGCUAACUACAAUAAGUUCUUAUAUUAUCUUAUAGUCAAAUAUUAAAAUAAUAAUAAUAUGUAAUCACAUUCAUUUUUGUAAUCAGCUAUAGGUUGUAUACGUACGAGUUACGAAAAGAGUUGUCUGCAAUGUAGUAUUGUGGGUGAUCAAAAAUUAUAAAUUUAAUUCGUUUUUAAAAUAUAAAACGUAGGAAU
Metopolophium dirhodum (rose-grain aphid) is the source of this 415-nucleotide long non-coding RNA. RefSeq lists it as uncharacterized. Lineage: Eukaryota; Metazoa; Arthropoda; Insecta; Hemiptera; Aphididae. The record is from RefSeq and is a predicted model, not a curated record. The transcript is spliced from 3 exons.